This 497-nucleotide ribosomal RNA is filed under the name uncultured bacterium. RNAcentral's name for it is "partial 16S ribosomal RNA". It matches the Rfam family "Bacterial small subunit ribosomal RNA", at positions 28 to 507 of the family's 1533-position model. The record is from RNAcentral.
GAUGAACGCUGGCGGCGUGCCUAGUACAUGCAAGUCGAGCGAACAGACGAGGAGCUUGCUCCUCUGACGUUAGCGGCGGACGGGUGAGUAACACGUGGAUAACCUACCUAUAAGACUGGGAUAACUUCGGGAAACCGGAGCUAAUACCGGAUAAUAUAUUGAACCGCAUGGUUCAAUAGUGAAAGACGGUUUUGCUGUCACUUAUAGAUGGAUCCGCGCCGCAUUAGCUAGUUGGUAAGGUAACGGCUUACCAAGGCAACGAUGCGUAGCCGACCUGAGAGGGUGAUCGGCCACACUGGAACUGAGACACGGUCCAGACUCCUACGGGAGGCAGCAGUAGGGAAUCUUCCGCAAUGGGCGAAAGCUUGACGGAGCAACGCCGCGUGAGUGAUGAAGGUCUUCGGAUCGUAAAACUCUGUUAUUAGGGAAGAACAAAUGUGUAAGUAACUAUGCACGUCUUGACGGUACCUAAUCAGAAAGACACGGCUAACUACGUG